AACGAACGCUGGCGGCAUGCCUAACACAUGCAAGUCGAACGAGACCUUCGGGUCUAGUGGCGCACGGGUGCGUAACGCGUGGGAACCUGCCUUUAGGUUCGGAAUAACUCAGAGAAAUUUGAGCUAAUACCGGAUAAUGUCUUCGGACCAAAGAUUUAUCGCCUUUAGAUGGGCCCGCGUAAGAUUAGCUAGUUGGUGGGGUAAAGGCCUACCAAGGCGACGAUCUUUAGCUGGUCUGAGGGGAUGAUCAGCCACACUGGGACUGAGAUACGGCCCAGACUCCUACGGGAGGCAGCAGUGGGAAGUAUUGGACAAUGGGGGGCAACCCUGAUCCAGCAAUGCCGCGUGAGUGAUGAAGGCCUUAGGGUUGUAAAGCUCUUUUGCCAGGGAAGAUGAUGACUGUACCUGGAGAAUAAAGCCCCCGGCUAAACUUCGUGCCAGCAGCC
This 446-nucleotide ribosomal RNA is filed under the name uncultured bacterium. RNAcentral describes it as "bacterial SSU rRNA". It matches the Rfam family "Bacterial small subunit ribosomal RNA", at positions 29 to 516 of the family's 1533-position model. The record is from RNAcentral.